GAUGAACGCUGGCGGCGUGCCUAAUACAUGCAAGUCGAGCGAACAGACGAGGAGCUUGCUCCUCUGACGUUAGCGGCGGACGGGUGUGUAACACGUGGAUAACCUACCUAUAAGACUGGGAUAACUUCGGGAAACCGGCGCUAAUCCCGGAGAAUAUCUUGCACCGCAUGGUUCAAUAGUGAAAGACGGUUUUGCUGUCACUUAUAGAUGGAUCCGGGCCGGAUUAGCUAGUUGGUAAGGUAACAGCUUACCAAGGCAAGGAUGCGUAUCCGACCUGAGAGACGGGUAGGCGACCUUGGAACGUAGCCGCCGUCCAGACGCCUACGGGAGGCAGCAGUAUGCUACCUUCCGCAACGGGCGGAAGCCUGACGGAGCAGCGCGGCGUGAGUGAUAAAGGUCUUCGGUGCGUAAAACUCUGUUAUUAGUGAAGAACAAAUUUGUCAGUAACUAUGCACGUCUUGACGGUACCUAAUCAGAAAGCCACGGCUAACUACGUG
This 497-nucleotide ribosomal RNA is filed under the name uncultured bacterium. RNAcentral describes it as "partial 16S ribosomal RNA". It matches the Rfam family "Bacterial small subunit ribosomal RNA", at positions 28 to 507 of the family's 1533-position model. The record is from RNAcentral.